GCAGGCGCGCAAAUUACCCAAUCCCGACUCGGGGAGGUAGUGACAAUAAAUACUGAUACAGGGCUCUUUUGGGUCUUGUAAUUGGAAUGAGUACAAUUUAAAUCCCUUAACGAGGAACAAUUGGAGGGCAAGUCUGGUGCCAGCAGCCGCGGUAAUUCCAGCUCCAAUAGCGUAUAUUAAAGUUGUUGUGGUUAAAAAGCUCGUAGUUGAACCUUGGGCCUGGCUGGCCGGUCCGCCUCACCGCGUGUACUGGUCCGGCCGGGCCUUUCCCUCUGUGGAACCCCAUGCCCUUCACUGGGUGUGGCGGGGAAACAGGACUUUUACUUUGAAAAAAUUAGAGUGCUCCAGGCAGGCCUAUGCUCGAAUACAUUAGCAUGGAAUAAUAGAAUAGGACGUGUGGUUCUAUUUUGUUGGUUUCUAGGACCGCCGUAAUGAUUAAUAGGGACAGUCGGGGGCAUCAGUAUUCAAUUGUCAGAGGUGAAAUUCUUGGAUUUAUUGAAGACUAACUACUGCGAAAGCAUUUGCCAAGGAUGUUUUCAUUAAUCAGGAACGAAAGUUAGGGGAUCGAAGACGAUCAGAUACCGUCGUAGUCUUAACCAUAAACUAUGCCGACUAGGGAUCGGACGAUGUUAUUUUUUUGACUCGUUCGGCACCUUACGAGAAAUCAAAGUGCUUGGGCU
RNAcentral lists this ribosomal RNA (680 nucleotides) under uncultured eukaryote. RNAcentral describes it as "SSU rRNA". It matches the Rfam family "Eukaryotic small subunit ribosomal RNA", at positions 428 to 1113 of the family's 1831-position model. The record is from RNAcentral.